CCUUAUGCACAGUGUACUUAAAACGAGGGCGAGUAACUUUAGCUAUAAAAAGAAGCGACAAAGAAGCACGGGGCAAGUCAGAAUGGAGAGAUAAUUGCCAGGAUCUAAUUUAAGUGUCAGUGCACACAGCUUGCUUUCCUGGCUUGGGCUUCGAGGCGCAGCGUUGGUGCAGUGAAGGCAAGGGAGGCUAGGUCGGGCUGGAGAGGCUGGUUUCCUGGGAUCGAGCAGGGGUCUGGCCAGCUCCCAGAGAGGAAGCCCCUCUGGGUGGGGCUGUGAGUGGUAGGCCCACACCCAGCGGCCCUCACAGGAACUUCACUCCAGCUCCUUCACUGGUGGGCCUGUGGUUUCUAGAAGAGAAGAUGCACUUCCCCAUGAGAAAGAGGUCAGUUCCUCUUUCCUGAGUGGCACAAACAGACUGCGGGACCCUUGGACUUCCUGCCACUGUCCACCCCAGCAGGUGAGUUAUGCUUUCCUCUCAGGCCAACACUGAGGCAUUAGACCCUGCGUUUCUCCUGGGGGCUGACUCUGUGAGCUCAGCAAGAAGUGUCCUCAGCUCUCAGGGUCUCUCAGAAGCCUUCCUCAGCUGGGAGCAUGGGCUACCUGAGCCUCUAAGUGUGACCAUGGAGCCACAGCGGCUGAACAUCCCUGGAGAGCCAGGAGAAAUGCACAGACAGUAGCCUCGCCUCUGGGCAACCGAGUCAUGCUCUCUGUUUUGACAAAAGUCUGAAGUAUGGUAGCCGAGGCUACCGAAAACAUCAUUUGUUCCGACAGUGAUAUGGGCUUAGUGUAAAAAGGUAAGGCUGUGUCCCCUCCUAACUCAUCCCAGGAGCAAACCCCACCUCCUUGAGAGUGGGUGUUAGAGAUAGGUAUGGAAAUGAGAAGAAUAGGGCUCCCCAGGCCGCCUUAGACCUCUAGCAGGCUGAGGUUUCAUGGCAGCUGGGACUAACUCGUCCUCCCCACACCUGCCACCACCUGAAGCUCCUCUAACAAGGUGAGAAUGCCUUUGUGAGACAAUUAGGAGAGAAAGUCUUACACAACAAAGGACAGGAGUGUGGUAACACUCAGGUGUGAACGAGUUAAAGGAUAACCUGCCAAUCAAUCAGAUCUCAAGGACUCCAAAGGAGGCCCAUCUGGUGCUCGUGUGUAGGCAGAACAAACAUUCUCUCUGCCGAGGUAGGGCACAGACAGGGGAGUUGCUCAGAGGGUUGGCGCAUGAAGUUGGAGCAUGAGGUCUGAAGACUUUGUUCAUUGGCCUUGAGUAGGGCCCAGUUUACUCCCCGUUGGGCAGAGGAGAGGACACAUCCAGACGUUUAGUCUCCCAGCUAAGGAGACUGAGGAGCAGGCGUCUCAGCUUUGCGUUGUCUGGUGCCGGUGUUUGUUGAGGUUCUUCAGCCCAGGUGACUUCCUCCAUAGGCCAGCCCAGUGUCAUGAACAUAAUUCUUGAGUGGCGAAUCAGCCCUAUACAGAUGCCCAAGUAGAAGUGGCCUUCAGAAGGACUUCCACAAACCCUCAUGGGAUAGUUUCAUCUCUCCAGGACCGAUUUUACUCCUGUGUACACCUGAACAGCCACAUCUAUCCAGGACUCUGGAGAAACUUGCGCCCUCAUCCCUUCCAUUAAGAAAUGCAAAACAGAGUGGUCUUUUUUUUUUUUUCUUUCUUGAGGCUCUUAAAGUUCAGAUUACCCCUUCAGAUUGAUCUAAAUGUUCACAGAUGGGCCAGGACCUGAGGAUGGGUGGCAUGGGAUUGCUAAUUAGCAUGUUCCAGUGUACGCAUUCAAAUGUGUGUUUUUCCCAUAGUUCAGAUUCAGACUGACUACCCUCUCCCACUUGGUCUUUGAGACGUCAUCCCCAGACGCUUCCUGGGGAAUGGAGAGCCCACAGUGUCUUUCCGUGUUAGGCCUUGACUUUGUCCUGUGAGGCUCAAAGGAACAAGAUGUGACAAUCUGUGAUGCCAGUUUGUGAAAUCCCCAAGCAGCUGCCGCCCAGUGUGGCUGAAGCAGCCACUGGGUUUUGGAGGAGACGUGGGUAAGCUCAUGGAGGGCCACCGCUCUCUUUCCCGUCCUGCCGUGAGUGUCUACGCGUGUGCGGUGCCAGCCUGUGAGGCAUUCUCUCCUAGGGUGUUCAUCACAGCACUGUGGAACCUACCAGAAGUGGAGCUGCAGCUGUGCCACAGGAUCGCUGACUGGAAACUGAGACCUGACAUGGUUGGGGGCUCCCCUGAGGUUAUAACUGGCUGCCAUGGUUUGAGGGCUCUCCUGAGGUUAUAGCUGGCAGCAGGUUGAGUCUGACCCCAAGGCAGAUGUUCCAGAGUGGCAUGAAGGUGGCAUGGAGUGAGGUCUGUGGACAAGUUUGGUCUUCUGUCUUCUGUCUUGGUUUUGUUUGUUUGUUUGUUUGUUUGUUUGUUUUUUCCUAGGCGUCACAUCUGAGGCCCUUGCCAGCAACUCCUCAGCACUGGCCUGUGACUUCAUCUUGGGUUGGUUCUAGUUCAGGAGAAAUGCAUCCCCGAGUUGCCGUCUGUCAUCAGACCAGCUAAGAUGGCCAUUAAGGACAAAUACGCAACCAAACCAAUGAGUAAGACAGAGAGGCACAGAGGCAUCAGUGCGGACCCCAGGGAGCUGGAAGCUGCGUUGCUGAUGGGAACGUAAAGGAGAGGAGCCGCUCUGGGAUAUUGGUCGGCAAUCCCUGGGAAAGUGAAUCUGGCCACGUGAUCCGGGAAAGUGAAUCUGGCCACGUGAUCCGGGAGCGUCACCCCUGGGAGAAUCCUCCGAAGACCUGAAAGCAGAGGCCGCAGCAGGUGUCUGCAGCAUCAACAAAUGCAGGCUGGACAGACCUUGUGGCCAGAUGCCCCAUGAAGUGAUAUUCAGUCAUUGGAAGAAAUGAAAUAUUGACACAUGCCACGACGGAGACAGACCUUGAAGACAUCACGCUGAGUGAAAGAAGCCAGAUAUAGAUUCUCAGGCUUGGAAAAGUCACAGGCACGGAGUAGCCAUCAGCAGUAGCUGACGCAGUGGGCGGGGUUACUGUUUAGUGGGUCCUGGAUUUACAUGGGGACAAUGGAAACAUUCUGGAAAGGGUUCAAGUAAUAAAUGUUACAAUAUA
Myodes glareolus (Bank vole) is the source of this 3098-nucleotide non-coding RNA. The record is from RefSeq and is a predicted model, not a curated record. NCBI's taxonomy places the organism in Eukaryota, Metazoa, Chordata, Mammalia, Rodentia, Cricetidae.